Ixodes scapularis (black-legged tick) is the source of this 159-nucleotide long non-coding RNA. RefSeq lists it as uncharacterized. The record is from RefSeq and is a predicted model, not a curated record. Lineage: Eukaryota; Metazoa; Arthropoda; Arachnida; Ixodida; Ixodidae. The transcript has 3 exons.
CCUACGCUAUCCAGCACACAGUCCUUGGCAUGCACUCCUGCCACAGACAAGCUUCACUCACCAACAUUUAUGACUGGAGGGGGAGUGUCCAGCACGCCUACGGAAUGCACCCCUGCCCCAAACGGUGGGCCUCAAGUGACAACAUUCACGAUUGUGGGG